Molecule: long non-coding RNA, 1302 nt
Organism: Lutra lutra (Eurasian river otter)
Lineage: Eukaryota; Metazoa; Chordata; Mammalia; Carnivora; Mustelidae
Exons: 3
Source: RefSeq, a predicted model, not a curated record
UAGGACUGUAAACAGUUCAGCACUUUCCUGUGCCAACUGGCAUCUCCAAAGAGGGCUCUGGAGAUUGGUAAAAACCAAACUGGAACGGAUUCUUCUAGAACCUGGAGCUUAAAAAAUAAAAGGCGGCAGAGGCUUGAGGUGCUUUGCUCCUACUCGGUCCUAAGUGAGGCCACCUGGUGGACAGAGGCGGCAUUGCAGCCAGAGGGAGCGGCGCAGCCUGAAGAAGGGACAGUGUGGAAGACCAGAGACAGGAAGGCCACUGCCACUUACAUCGUUACUCUGGCUUCAUGGAAAAUCCCCAAAGUCCAGAAGGAGGGAAGCAAGAAGGAAAGACGGUGACAGAGAAAGUGCCUUGUCCUCUGUGGGUCAUGUGAACUGCCCCGCAUGGCCAAGGCCCAGAACCCCCAACUCUGGGGGGCAGGAAAAUGGGGAGGAGGAUGUGGACACAGAUGCGGAAGGCGAUGGUGGGAGGGACCCCGAGGAGAACCCCCAUGGAGACGGCCGCUGUCUUGGAGAAGCAGCUCCAACAACCAAUUUGGGCCAAACCCUCACACCAAAUGAUGACAGGAGCAAUGAAUCGUGCCUUUCAGCUCUCUCGCCGACAGGGUCCCAUGUGAGCCUUCACAAACAAUCUCCGAGUGAUGCAAGGGAUGACAGGCAGAACCAAACCCCAUUCUGACAGGGCAGUCCGUCCCCUCCCCCUCAUUCAGAGAGGUUCAAAAGUGCUCUUGUCCCAACCAUCUUUGUCACCCCAGCUUUGGUGGCGAACCGUGAAGGGGAGGCCGUUUGUCCUGGUGUCUCAGCGAGAACUGGAAGUCUUGGCAACAUGACCCAUGAAUGCUGUUUAGUUCAGUGGCUCUUAAAUCUCAUGAACCUUGUGUCAGUAUUUAUGCCUGUCUCCCUUCGCCUUAUGCCUUGCAACUGGGAAAGUUCACCUCCAGACUUUUUCCCAGCUCACUUCUCAUUUUCCAUCCUCCCCACUACCCAACUUCUGGCCAGAAACAGAUAUAUCUGAAGAAGAGACUGCAAAAUUCACCUCGGUGAAUGGGAUCACCUCCUCCUCCUCCUGCCUCUCUACAUCGCCCUGAUCAUUCACAUUGGUUCAACUCGAUUCAGUUCAAGAUUGACUGAAUGCCUAUUCAAAGUGCAAGGCCCGUUUCGGGGAAAUUGAACCAAGCAAACAAACCAACUGGUAGUACAAGUAAAAAAUUGUGCUUCCUUCCAGAAUAUUCAGGGUUUGACCUCAGUGAAAUAUUUGCUUCGGGGGGAAAAAGCCCAGGGCUCGGGGAGGGGGGAGGGGAA